This 423-nucleotide ribosomal RNA is filed under the name uncultured eukaryote. RNAcentral describes it as "bacterial SSU rRNA". It matches the Rfam family "Eukaryotic small subunit ribosomal RNA", at positions 592 to 1017 of the family's 1831-position model. The record is from RNAcentral.
CAAUAGCGUAUAUUAAAGUUGUUGCAGUUAAAAAGCUCGUAGUUGGAUCUCAGGUCCAGGCUUGCGGUCCACUCCUUGGUGGCUACUGCUCGUCCUGACCUACCUCCCGGUUUUACCCUUGGUGCUCUUGAUUGAGUGUCUCGGGUGGCCGGAACAUUUACUUUGAAAAAUUAGAGUGCUCAAAGCAGGCUAUUACGCCUGAAUAUUCGUGCAUGGAAUAAUAGAAUAGGAAGUCGUUUCUAUUUUGUUGGUUUUCGGAAAUCGACUUAAUGAUUAAUAGGGACAGUCGGGGGCAUUUUGUAUUCAAACGACAGAGGUGAAAUUCUUGGACCGUUUGAAGACAAACUACUGCGAAAGCAUUUGCCAAGAAUGUUUUCAUUAAUCAAGAACGAAAGUUAAAGGUUCGAAGAUGAUCAGAUACCA